CGGCUUCCUUUCCUUAGGCCUCCGGUCCUUCGAUUCGUCCAGUUUCCCACUCCUCUCAAGCUGCAGAGCGCAGAUCCGGUGAGGGAGGAUUAGAUCCAGGCGGUGGAUGGCCAGUCCCAGAAGACGACGGCGGCGCGGGCGCGGAGGUGGCUGCGCAGGCCUGGGAGGCGACAGCUGCAACGGUCCCUAGGUGCCGGGAUGUGGCGGACAGUGGUAAGUUCCUGCAUCCGUGCGGCUCCGAUCCUUGCUGCUCUUCUGCAUGGACCAGGUUGUGCAUCGGUCCAGCUUUUCACUUUCAUAUCCAUGGAAUUCUCCUUUUAUAUUAUUUAGUUAACUUGUUGCAGAUCUGUGAAAUUAAGAAGCUAGUUCAAAAGGGAAGAUUGUUGAUUGUCUAUUGGUUUUCUCUUUUAAUGUGUAGGCAUUUGUGGUUUCAUGUAAGUGGAGCAGCGGAGGUCAAUUAAUCUGCAAGGAAUUUUGAACUGCUCUUAUAUUGUAGUGUAAAUUUUACUGUAUUCUGAAUUUUGUCUUGCUUCGUGUUUCAUAGGGUCUAAAACUGGAAGCUUGAACAAGCUUUCCUCCCAUAUUUUUUUUGUUAAUUGCAGUUUGGUCAUCUGGUGACUAUCUUAAAGAAAUGAAUGGGCAACCGAUCUAUGCAAGAGAUAUCUGAAUGUACUAUACACUAAUUUUUGCCGCUGAAGCUUACCCUCUCAUUCUUAAAGAAUUGCAGUUUGCUUUGCUUGAUCUAACAGUGGAGCUGUAAUGACUCGUAUUUAAAAUUUAAUAGAAGAAGAUGCAGCUAGAGCCUUAGGCAAAUCAAGAUUUUUUUGUAGUAUGCAUGUUUGAGUUGCCAUUUUUAUUAAAUAGUUGCUUGAAACUUUUACUGGGGAAUUAGAUGCAGACAGUAUGUAUGACUGAACAAUUUCACACUUUUUAAGUAAUUUCAAUUUUGCAACUUAGUCAGGAUUAGCCGCACAAUAAGUUAGUAAUCAAACAUUUUUGCAACUUCAAAUGAAUUAGCGAACAGUAUUGCUAUGGGUAAAUGUCUAAGCACAAUUGCUAUUUAAGUUGGACCUUGUGUGUUAUCUGAAGAUCCAAGUCAAGUGAGGAAAUUGAUAAUGUCUCCUUGGGUUUCGGUAUGUUUUUUUUUGUGCAUCUAGUUCGUGAUUUCUUUUUUUUCUAACUAAUUUCUUUUUUCCUUUUUUAAUAGCAAAGUAUCUUGUAUGCUGAAUCUACAAGUAAACUUGCUGAAAAGGCUUUUAAUUUCCUUAAUAUCGACUAUGCUUUGGUAAGUAGAAUAUUUUUUUUACAUUCUUUGUACAUUUCCUACCUAAGUUGCCACACUGAAAUUUAAUAAUUUUGCUGUAAAUGGAAACUGUAUUCAGUAUUUUUUGGGCUUUGUGUAGAUUUGAAGAAUGUAGAUUAGGGAUUGUGUAGCAUCAGCAAGGCAGCAUGGCUAACUUUUCAUUUGUUUCAACAAGUGAUGUUUGUUUCUGAUGUAUUUUCUACAGGAUAUGGAGAAAUUUCAGCAACCUAAGGUACUCAUGCUCCGGACACCAAAAACACCUAGUUGCCAGCACCUGUUCAACUAUUAGCAAUUUGGUGACUAAGAUCACUUGUGAGAUAGGGAUGUGAGAUUUCUAAUUUAUCUGAGAUAACUUUGUGACUAAGUUCACUUGUUGAACUAUAGUUUGGUGUUCGUGAUGAAUGUAAUAAAUAUAUUGAUGAAUGACAUAUGAACCUAUUGAUUUGGUCAUGAAUGGAAUAUAUUGUUGGACCUACAUAUGUUAAUGUGGAUUGUUUGAUGUGUCGGUGCGGUACGUGAUGGUAUGGAUUGAGCCAAAUUAAUGAGUCAUCCUACGUGACAAGGCCUAAGAACCUAUGACAUAAAAGUAGAAGUCAUAAACGCUUGUGACAUUUAAAACCAAUGUCAUGAUAUUAUGACAUGAACACUUAAACGUCACAAGUUGUCAUUAAAGACGCGCAUCUUUUGACAUUUCAAUUUUCGUCAACUUGGUGUCAUAAAUGGUGAUCUAUGACUUAUUUUGCAUGAAUUAUGACAUAUAUCAAAUGUCAAAAGAUGACACAUUUCUUGUAGUGUUUUCAGGGAGCCAGCUGGGCCAAGCAGGCCGCGCGCGGCUCACUCCGCAGUGCCGCUGCU
RNAcentral lists this long non-coding RNA (2158 nucleotides) under Sorghum bicolor (sorghum). RNAcentral describes it as "long non-coding RNA (SBIC_LNC001875)". Lineage: Eukaryota; Viridiplantae; Streptophyta; Magnoliopsida; Poales; Poaceae. The record is from RNAcentral.